GCCCGAUUAGCUCAGCUGGUUAGAGCGUCGUACUAAUAUCUUCACCGAGAUAUCAAGUCCAUGCGAAGGUCAACAGUUCAAUCCUGUUAUUGGGCA
RNAcentral lists this transfer RNA (96 nucleotides) under Neurospora intermedia. RNAcentral describes it as "tRNA-Ile". Lineage: Eukaryota; Fungi; Ascomycota; Sordariomycetes; Sordariales; Sordariaceae. RNAcentral also lists the same sequence under 1 other name. The record is from RNAcentral.